Molecule: unclassified non-coding RNA, 421 nt
Filed under: Craterispermum sp. ck10
Lineage: Eukaryota; Viridiplantae; Streptophyta; Magnoliopsida; Gentianales; Rubiaceae
Description: partial external transcribed spacer
Source: RNAcentral
UUGGAUCUCUGCUUGGGCAGUGACGUCCUCCCGUGCAUUCCACUUCAAUCGUUGGCACAAGAGUGACUAUAGCCUUGGCCGUCAUCAUUGGUUUCCUGUGUUGCAUACCUACAUCGAUGGAAUUCGUAGACCAAUUCUUAUCUAGUUCGCCUAUCGCUGCCCGUUCGCACGGUGCGGCUUCGGGUGAACCUCAAAGCGAAAUUCGUGUUCUGCGUCGUUUGCGCAUCGCGUUAACGUCACGGCCCACGAGUUCUCGCUUGACCUCGGGGAUGCGGAAAACGCUAGUGGUACGGGGUCCUUGACCUCAAUUUGCCCACAAAAUUGGCAUCACACGCCACAUUCGAACGACUCUCGGCGUCGCACUGACGAUUGCGUCUUGCGACCCGAUGUCCGUGAGGAAUGCUACUGUUUUGAUCCUGCA